This 423-nucleotide ribosomal RNA is filed under the name uncultured bacterium. Its description in RNAcentral is "bacterial SSU rRNA". It matches the Rfam family "Bacterial small subunit ribosomal RNA", at positions 355 to 794 of the family's 1533-position model. The record is from RNAcentral.
UGGGGAAUAUUGCACAAUGGGGGGAAACCCUGAUGCAGCGACGCCGCGUGAACGAAGAAGUAUUUCGGUAUGUAAAGUUCUAUCAGCAGGGAAGAUAAUGACGGUACCUGACUAAGAAGCACCGGCUAAAUACGUGCCAGCAGCCGCGGUAAUACGUAUGGAGCAAGCGUUAUCCGGAUUUACUGGGUGUAAAGGGAGUGUAGGCGGCUUUGCAAGUCAGAUGUGAAAGCCCGGGGCUCAACCCCGGGACUGCAUUUGAAGCUGUGAAGCUGGAGUGUCGGAGAGGUAAGUGGAAUUCCUAGUGUAGCGGUGAAAUGCGUAGAUAUUAGGAAGAACACCAGUGGCGAAGGCGGCUUUCUGGACUGUAACUGACACUGAGGCUCGAAAGCGUGGGGAGCGAACAGGAUUAGAUACCCUGGUAGU